This 878-nucleotide ribosomal RNA is filed under the name uncultured bacterium. RNAcentral describes it as "bacterial SSU rRNA". It matches the Rfam family "Bacterial small subunit ribosomal RNA", at positions 26 to 896 of the family's 1533-position model. The record is from RNAcentral.
AGAACGAACGCUGGCGGCGUGGUUUAGGCAUGCAAGUCGAACGAGGUCCAUCCCUUCGGGGAGAAGACCUAGUGGCGAACGGGUGAGUAAUACAUCGACCAUCUACCCUUGGGACGGGGACAACAGCGGGAAACUGCUGCUAAUACCCGAUAGUCCGGAAACGGUAAACGGCGGGGACCUUCGGGCCCGUCACCCAGGGAGGAGUCGAUGGCCUAUCAGCUUGUUGGUGGGGUAAUGGCCCACCAAGGCUAAGACGGGUAGCCGGACUGAGAGGUUGACCGGCCACACUGGGACUGAGACACUGCCCAGACUCCUACGGGAGGCUGCAGUCGAGAAUCUUCCGCAAUGGACGAAAGUCUGACGGAGCGACGCCGCGUGCAGGAUGAAGGCCUUCGGGUUGUAAACUGCUGUCAGGUGUUAGGAACAACCGUAGGUUAAUACCCUGCGAUCUGACAAAAACACCAAAGGAAGCCACGGCUAACUUCGUGCCAGCAGCCGCGGUAAGACGAAGGUGGCAAGCGUUGUUCGGAAUUACUGGGCAUAAAGCGCGCGUAGGUGGCUUGGCAAGCGGGGAAUGAAAUCCCAUGGCUCACCCAUGGAACUGUUCUCCGAACUGCUUGGCUUGAGGUCGGGAGGGGAGAGCGGAAUUCCCGGUGUAGCGGUGAAAUGCGUAGAUAUCGGGAGGAACGCCGGUGGCGAAAGCGGCUCUCUGGCCCGAUCCUGACACUGAGGCGCGAAAGCUAGGGGAGCAAACAGGAUUAGAUACCCUGGUAGUCCUAGCUGUAAACGAUGGGCACUGGGUUGAGGGGGAGUCAACGCCUUCUCAGCCGUAGCUAAUGUGUUAAGUGCCCCGCCUGGGGAGUACGGUCGCAAGGCUA